GUCUCUUUGACCAGGCUAGAGCGCCAGCGCUCCUCUGACCCGGCACACUUUGGCAAAGUUGCAGUGGCCUGUUUGCUUAGGCACUGAAGUGGAUGACCCAAGUUAGGAUGACAACUUGCAGAGAACGCGGAUGAGACCUUCAGUUUGUGCCCACACUCAUUUGCAGCAACCCUAACAGAGAUUGCGAAGAUUUUCAAAGUGGGGCACCUCGAUUUCUCGAAUCUGUGGUGUGGCGAAUAUCCGUGUUCCUCCUGCUUAACUAGCCUGUUUGGUCUGAUUCUAUUUAUUCUAAAGACAGAGUUGGAGAUGGGCUACCAUUGGUGUUGAUUGAGAUGACAAGCAGUCACCUGAGCCCAUACAGCUGGGUUCACAGAUGUGGCUAGUCUUGCUAGCCAGCUCGCACUGUGGACAUUCUAGGGAACUGACUGCAGUCCUCAUGCUUGGAGUCAAACACUUUAACCACUGCACACGUUUAUGUAAUAGGAUUGACAUAUGAGAAUCAGAGAAAUGAAUGAAAGAUUAGAGUGGGAGAAAGUGCUUGCUGCCAAGCUUGAUGACCUAAAUUGAAUACCUGGAACCUACACGACAGAAAGAGAGAGCUGACUGCUGAAAGAUGUCCUCAGAUCUUCACAUGUGCACAGUGGCACCUAUCCAACCAUGCACAUAGUAUAUUAAAAAUUAUUUUUUAAAAAAUCCA
Molecule: long non-coding RNA, 697 nt
Filed under: Mus musculus (house mouse)
Lineage: Eukaryota; Metazoa; Chordata; Mammalia; Rodentia; Muridae
Description: Hand2, opposite strand 1
Source: RNAcentral